AUUACCUGUAAUGAAAAGAAAACUGAGUGGGUCAGGCUUGGGAGCCUGGUGAGCAUAUAGGGUUUUCAACCCACAAUAAUACAUUUGUUAUAUUCAAUUAUCAAACAAUCAACCCAAAUACCCAUCCCCAUUAUCUUCUUAAGGUUUCACCCUAAGAACCAACUAUCCUUCAUUCACUUAUUCCUAAGGAAUCGGCACGAAAUCCAUUGCUGCCAAAGUUUAUCUAACGAGUACUAAAUCCAUAGUUAUCAGACGCUAACUCCAUAGUCGUCGGGGUUUACUCAAGCGAUGCUAACUCCAUAGUCACCAAGGUUCACGUAACAAGCGCUAACUCCAUAGUCGCCAAGGUUUACUUAACAAGCGCUAACUCCAUAGUCGCCAAGGUUCAUCAAAUAGGCACGAAGUCACAUCGUCGCCAAGGUUUAUGCAAUAGGCGCUAACUCCAUAGUCACCAAGGUUUAUACAAAAGGCGCUAACUCCAUAGUCACCAAGGUUUAUCUAAUAAUAGGCGCUAACUCCAUAGUCACCAAGGUUUAUCUAACAGCAGGCGCUAACUCCAUAGUCACCAAGGUUUAUCUAACAGCAGGCGCUAACUCCAUAGUCACCAACUAACCCAUCUACCCAUGUUCUACCCAACAAUAUUAGUAGAUAAAAAUA
RNAcentral lists this long non-coding RNA (657 nucleotides) under Lactuca sativa (garden lettuce). RNAcentral's name for it is "long non-coding RNA (LSAT_LNC008143)". Lineage: Eukaryota; Viridiplantae; Streptophyta; Magnoliopsida; Asterales; Asteraceae. The record is from RNAcentral.